RNAcentral lists this non-coding RNA (558 nucleotides) under Pan troglodytes (chimpanzee). The record is from RNAcentral. Lineage: Eukaryota; Metazoa; Chordata; Mammalia; Primates; Hominidae. RNAcentral also lists the same sequence under 1 other name.
AUCUUCACUGCUCUAUGCACACAGGAACACCAGAUUGCCAUCCCUGGGGAACAGAAUGCAACCCGGGAUCUAGAGAGCUGUCACAUUCCAAGAAAUAUUUAAAUUGUGCUGAUUUUCUUCUGGAGAACUGAGCCCAGGGAAUGAAACUCUCCAUCAAGUCAUGGCUUUGCGGGCAAUAGAUCAGAGGAUAUUGCCAGUUUUCUAAUGGAUUAUUGUUAUCGGGCAGGUUUUCUCUGAAGCUUCUCAGCUGCUGUUACAUUCUACUUGGAUGGGUCCUAUUUCUUUCCUCCUUUUCCUCGAAUAAGCAUUCGUAUGCAGAUGACGGGGGCCUUCAAAAGAACUGGAGAUCAGCCAGAUCACUUGUAUGCACAAAGCUGCUGUGGAUCUGUCUUUCAAACAAGAGCUGCAGAAAACGCUAUAGCAAGGUUGAAGCUUUAUCCACUCUGACUCACCCAGAAAGCACAGCCCUGAUUCUGCGUGAGAAAGGCUAUCUCUACAGAAACUAAAACGGUAUCAACGGUUUCUGUACAGCACAGAUUAUGACAGCGUCUUUCUUAA